Corapipo altera (White-ruffed manakin) is the source of this 2960-nucleotide long non-coding RNA. RefSeq lists it as uncharacterized. The transcript is spliced from 3 exons. NCBI's taxonomy places the organism in Eukaryota, Metazoa, Chordata, Aves, Passeriformes, Pipridae. The record is from RefSeq and is a predicted model, not a curated record.
AGCUCACUCUCCUCCUUCUCUCUUUGCCCAGAUUGCCAGGGAGCACGGUAUUAGGUUUUUCGAAACUAGUGCAAAAGCAAAUAUAAACAUUGAGAAGGCAUUCCUCACGUUAGCAGAAGACAUUCUUCGAAAGACCCCUGUAAAAGAGCCCAACAGUGAAAAUGUAGAUAUCAGCAGUGGCGGUGGGGUGACGGGCUGGAAGAGCAAGUGCUGCUGAACCUUCUCCUCUCUCACCAAUCGCCAUCCACCGCCCCUUUUUUCUCGCUGCAAAACAAACCACUCUGCCCGUUUUUUUUAACCUUAAACCGAUGUUUUGUUCCUCAUCUUAACGAGCUCCUGCCUCCCCCCCUGGUUUUCCGGCUAGGACAGCUUUGCCUACUCCAGUUUUCUCAACCACAUGUAUAGGAAAUCCAUCUCCGUGACUUCAUUUUUCCAUGUUCCUGCUCAGCUCACCACUACUGUUUGGGUUGUAUGAUAGCCCCGUCCCUCCUGCCAUUAAACCCCAGAGCAAUCAUACUCAACUCUUCUGCAAAUUGUAUAAGAAUAAAAGUUAGAAUUAACAAUUGAUUUUGUACAACAGUGGAAUUUUCUGUCCUGGAUCAUGUGCUUGAGUCCCCAUGUUCUCUUAAGACGCAUCAGCAAGAGCCAGGAAAACACUCAUUUUCGCCUUGAGUCCAUGAGUGGGGUUUCUUUGUCCUGUGCCUUAUGUGGAAAAAGGAACUUUUAUUUUCACUUUCUUUUCUUUUUCUUCUGGUGGAAGCAUGUGCAGGAGACAUCCCAUCCCCCCCUGUGCCAUUGAGUCCCAACCUCUGUAGUGAUUGCUUUCUGUACCCCUUGGUGUCAUGCAUCGAGGACAAAGGGUGGUGCAAAACAAAAAGCAGAAUCCCUGUGACCUGCUGUGUCUCCUCUUGGCGAUCCCAACUCUUCCCGCUGCCAUUUUCUUUUCUCACUUUGCCGCUCUUUCCUUUUUUGGUUAUUUUAUUUUAUAUUUUUUUUGUUGUUUUUUUUGUUGUUGUUUUUUUGGUUUUGGUUUUGGUUUUUCUUUUUUGCCUGCAUGCUGCUUUGAUUUGCAUUUCUUCAUGGUGUGAUGUGUUAACGAAAAGGAUGGCAACGCGGAGUGUUUGCCAAAAAAAACUGUAAUGCAAAGCACUGAUGUAGGUCCCGAGGUAACGAUGUGGAGAUCCCGACUAACCCCUCUAGCCGUGUCCUCAUAGCGACCCCCUCCCGCACAGCCCCCCUAUGGAAGAGUUAUUUGCAUGCACUAGUUUCUCUGGAGGGUGAUGUGGUUGUCUACUUUUCUGUGUAUGAAUAUAACAUGCGACUCCCAAACCGACAGCAGUUCAUUAAUUAAUUAGCUCCGAGCUCCGAGGGUCCCUCCCCGUCAGCCGCUCCGAGGGGUUCGGGAGCCGAGCGGAACUGGACCGAGAGAGAAAAGAGAGGAAAAAAAACCCCAAACCAGCCAGCUGGCAGUUUAAUUUAUUACCUCCCUGCAAGCGUUGGCAGCCGAGCGGGGCCAGCCCUGCCCCGGAUCCCGGCGCUCCGGGAGCUGAUCCCGGCCGGGACUGGCUGCUCCAGCUUUGCCCUCCUGCGCUGGUGUCACCCGUGGCUCCGUCCUGGCUGAAGGAGGGCUCGGUUCUGCCGGUCCCAGAGCCCGCGGGAGCCGCCGUGUUCGAUCCGUGUUCGAUCCGUGUUCAUCCCACCUGGAGCCGGAGCUCUGGCCACGGACACGCCGAGGGUGGACACGCUGCUGCCUCCCCAGCUGCUGCCUCCCCAGCCCCGCCCGCUCCUCCCGGGACAAGCCGGUGCCUCCUGGUGCCCGCGGGGCCGGGACUGUCCGCUCGGCCCUGGCGGCACUGGGGUAACGCUGAGUGAAUUUUAAUGAUGAAAUGACGGUGUUUUUCAGUGGAACUCCUCGUUCCUUCGGAGCGGCUUCCCCGGAGCGACCCGCCGAGGCGUCUCCUCCCCCUGUAGUAACUCACCGAGGUGUCUCCCUGCCCCUCUGUAGCUGGCAUUUUGUCCCCGUGUGUGUUAACCCUUCCCAGGCGAGUGGCCGGCGGGGCCGGGCCGGGCGCUCAGCGUUGGGCAGAGCCCGGCCGCUUUUGGUUAAAUCUGCACUUUUCUGACGUGAUCAAAAAAGGGAAAAAAAAAAAAAUGGCGAAUAUGCAUCAAGGGGGUUUUUUUUGUAUAAUCCUUGUUUUAAACGUGAGCUUCUUACCUGCUCCCAGGGGCUCGGCUCCCUCCGUGUGACCCCUCUGUAGACGCCGUGCCCGGUGCGAGCCCCAGGUGGAGCCCGAGCCACUCGCUGGUCCCUCUCGCUGCCGCCCCCGUCCCCCUCCCCCUGCCCGGUUAAUAAACUGAAAUCUUUCUAUUUGGUCUAUUUUCUGUUCCUGUCCAACCACGAGCUGUACCCACGGGCGUGGGCUCGAGCAGCACGAGUCGGUGCCGAAAAGAGAGAAAAAAACACCACCCCCCCCCCCAAAAAAAAAAAAAAAAACCGAUGUUGGAGGAAUUUGCGGUGAUUUGAUUUGUGCUGGUGUCUGAGCUCCCUGCUGGUCCCAGCCUGCCUGGGAAGGCCCUGCUGGGCUCCCGGCCCUGCCCACGGGGGGGGGGGGGCUCGGCGCUGCCUUCCUGCCACAAAAACAGUGUUAAAACGAUUCAAUCGGGCCCGACAAACCAAACCUGAGCUUGGCUCUGCCCCACGAGUGUCACGGGCCGUGGGGGCCGUGGUCACCGCGGCGCCUCGUGCCCUCGGACGGUGGAAUAAUAAAACAGCAUCAAGGUCUUGGAUUAAUUCCCAUGCGACAAUUUUUUACUUAAUCUUUUAAUAUUUUUGCUACUCCACUCUGGCUUUUUAUUUAAAACACAUUCUUUUGUACCACUUACUGUAUCAAAUUGUAUAAAAGAUCACUGUCCCAUUCUUGGUCGUACCAAGAGCAAAUAAAAGCUUUUAUAAACUUGCA